AACAUCUUGAGAAUUAGUAAAUAAAUGAUUUUGCGGCGCGCAACAGUUGUCGGAUUUUAGUUUAGCGUCGAGUAAGACACAUGGAAAUCGCGAGCAUCACGAUCCAACUGUUCGAGAUAUCGGACACGAAGAGUAAUCCCAGUUGUACUCAUAUUACGGGAAAAAACUACAGUGUGUUUUGCGGUGCGAGACAGGAAUCGAUACGAAUACCACGUGAUUUGAGAGAUGCAUUUAUUAUUAGCGGAAAAUCAUUGACAACAUCGUGUCACGUGAAAUGCUUUUGAACUAUGAGCAAUAACUGAGAUCUAUAAUAUUAUAAAUAAAAUAUUAUAAUAAAAGAGACAAAAGAAGAGAUGCAGAAGCAAGAAAAAAAUAUUUUUUAAGAGUAUAUUCCAAAAUAUUUUCAAAUCAUUUUCGCUCACGUAGAAUAAUGCAUCCUUCUUAAAACAUUUAUUGCUCGUGGAGCUCUCUUACAGUAUCCAAAAAUGUCACGAAACAUUCCCAUAGAAUAUUCUUAGUUCACAUUACAGCGUUUACGGUUCUACGAAUCCAAAAUAAAUAUUAUACGUGCACUUUGUCGUUUAAAGAAAUACUGAACACGUGGCAUUUCGAGUAUUUCUUAAUUUUUGCACUUUAACGCGAUUCUCUUUAUGUUUCUUAUGAGCACGCGCUUCGAAUGAUCUGUACUGGAGCUGGAGAGUGUAUGUACGUUACCGGACGCGGUCCGUUUAAUGAUGACCGGUUAGAUCAUUUGCGCUUAUCCCCGAUGAACGUCACAGGAAAAUCCGGCUUGGAUGAUAGCAAAGGUCAAUCGUAAAGGUCGACAGUCAUAUCUUCCACCUUGUUUAGUCAUGAAUUUUACACGAUGAUGCCAGUAAUAGUGGGGGACACAAGUAUUCCAUAAAUAUUAAAUCUUCGAAACUAAAACCAGUUCAACUUUGACGAGUUCAGGUUUUCAGGUUAAAUUUUUCGUCGGCAACAUUUAGAUGAAUGCAAGAAACAUUUUCUCUACUUCGACCAUCGGGAAUUCAAUUUUGCGGAAUAAGGACUUGAUACAUGAAUUUCAAUUCUCUGUGAUCUAGAAUCGAGCACUUGUCCUCAACUGCUUUGACUUUGCGAGAUCGACGUAAUUCGAUGAACUCAAGGAGAUAUCGAAAACCGUCAUGGGAAACACGUGCGCUAAACUGUAAUAUGAUAAAAUUCUGGCAAUACUAA
Monomorium pharaonis (pharaoh ant) is the source of this 1215-nucleotide long non-coding RNA. RefSeq lists it as uncharacterized. The record is from RefSeq and is a predicted model, not a curated record. NCBI's taxonomy places the organism in Eukaryota, Metazoa, Arthropoda, Insecta, Hymenoptera, Formicidae. The transcript has 3 exons.